GGGGAUUAAAGCGGUGAGGAUUGCAGCUGCACAGACAGAAAGAGAGCAGAGGGAGGGAGACGGGCUUACAGAUAAAAAAGGGACAGACUGGAAACCAAUAAUGCGGCGCUGAUUUAAAAGGAUGGUCUCCCUCCUACAGCUCUACGACCUCUGCAGCACAUCCAGAAUGCAGCAGCUCAACUGGUCUUUAACCUUCCUAAAUUCUCCAACACUCCUCCACUCCUCCGCUCUCUUCACUGGCUACCAGUGGCUGCCCGCAUCCACUUCAAAACAUUGGUGCUCACGUACCACGCUGUGAAUGGAUCGUUUCCAGUCUACAUCCAGGACCUGGUCAAACCCUACAUCCCAACCUGCAAACUCCGCUCUGCAUCUGCCAAAUUGGUUGUUCCUCCUCACUAAGAGCAAAACACUCAACAAGAUCACGACCCUUUGCUGUCCUGCUCCUAAAUGGUGGAAUGAGGUCUUUGAUGACAUCAGGACCGCAGAGAGUCUUCACAUAAAACUAAACCCACACCUCUUCAUCUAUACCUCAACUAAAGACUCUUAACGAAUUGUUCCACUUAAUCGUACUUAGAAUGGCUCUCAGCUAUAGCAAGUUGUAAAUCGGCUUGAAAUGCACUUAUUGUAAGUCGCUUUGGAUAAAAGCGUCAGCUAAAUGACAUCAAAGCAACUGCUUUGAUCCAGGUGCAUUCAUUGGCAGGCUACAGCUAUGAUCCAGCUGUGCAGAUUUCUCCUCCAUAUCAGCAGAGUCGGCUUGAAAAUAAUUAAUCAAGUCGGUCAAAUAUCCCACUGUGACCAACAUUACAUUACAUUACAUGUCAUUUAGCGGACGCUUUUAUCCAAAGCGACGUACAAUAAGUGCAUUCAACCAUAGGGUACAAACUCAGGAGAACAAGAAACAAGAAAGUGCAAUUUGCUCAAAUAAGCCAAUUUACAAUUUGCUAUAGAUGAGUGACGUUACAAGUACAAUUUAAGUGCUACAAUUUGUUAGUCUUUAGUCGAGGUAGAGUCUGAAGAGGUGUGUCUUUAGUUUGCGGCGGAAGAUGUGAAGGCUCUCUGCGGUCCUGAUGUCUUUGGUCGAGCCAGGAGGGAGUUGCAGUAGUCCAGGUGGGAGAUGACAAGAGCCUGAAUCAGUACCUUCUGAGUGAGAAGAGGACGUGUUCUCCUGAUGUUGUAGAGCGAGUAUCUACAGGAUAAUGGUUUGUUGUCCGAUGCCGCCAGAUCUUGGGACGCGGAAGGAGGAAAGGAAAUGCUGGAGACUAGGGAGCAACUUGCUUCAGUCCUCGUUGUGGUUCAGCCUGCAGAGACACCAACUCUGUUGCCUGCCUGCUACCCCCUCCAGCAUGUCAGUGCUGAGCCCUCACUGUGGAGCAGCGGCGUUGAAAGUGCUGGAAACUGGCCUCACUCGCCCGUCGGACGCAAGACAGUUGAGAAGUGGAGGGACGACGUCCAAAGCACACAAGUGGGGCAAAUGAAAGCCAU
Long non-coding RNA from Gasterosteus aculeatus aculeatus (three-spined stickleback), 1482 nucleotides. Lineage: Eukaryota; Metazoa; Chordata; Actinopteri; Perciformes; Gasterosteidae. The record is from Ensembl.